This 497-nucleotide ribosomal RNA is filed under the name uncultured bacterium. Its description in RNAcentral is "partial 16S ribosomal RNA". It matches the Rfam family "Bacterial small subunit ribosomal RNA", at positions 28 to 507 of the family's 1533-position model. The record is from RNAcentral.
GACGAACGCUGGCGGCGUGCCUAAUACAUGCAAGUCGAGCGAACGGACGAGAAGCUUGCUUCUCUGAUGUUAGCGGCGGACGGGUGAGUAACACGUGGAUAACCUACCUAUAAGACUGGGAUAACUUCGGGAAACCGGAGCUAAUACCGGAUAAUAUUUUGAACCGCAUGGUUCAAAAGUGAAAGACGGUCUUGCUGUCACUUAUAGAUGGAUCCGCGCUGCAUUAGCUAGUUGGUAAGGUAACGGCUUACCAAGGCAACGAUGCAUAGCCGACCUGAGAGGGUGAUCGGCCACACUGGAAAUGAGACACGGUCCAGACUCCUACGGGAGGAAGCAGUAGGGAAUCUUCCGCAAUGGGCGAAAGCCUGACGGAGCAACGCCGCGUGAGUGAUGAAGGUCUUCGGAUCGUAAAACUCUGUUAUUAGGGAAGAACAUAUGUGUAAGUAACUGUGCACAUCUUGACGGUACCUAAUCAGAAAGCCACGGCUAACUACGUG